RNAcentral lists this ribosomal RNA (434 nucleotides) under uncultured bacterium. RNAcentral describes it as "partial 16S ribosomal RNA". It matches the Rfam family "Bacterial small subunit ribosomal RNA", at positions 29 to 507 of the family's 1533-position model. The record is from RNAcentral.
AGCGAACGCUGGCGGCAGGCCUAACACAUGCAAGUCGAACGAACCUUUCGGGGUUAGUGGCGGACGGGUGAGUAACACGUGGGAACGUGCCUUUAGGUUCGGAAUAACUCAGGGAAACUUGUGCUAAUACCGAAUGUGCCCUUCGGGGGAAAGAUUUAUCGCCUUUAGAGCGGCCCGCGUAUGAUUAGCUAGUUGGUUGAGGUAAUGGCUCACCAAGGCGACGAUCAGUAGCUGGUCUGAGAGGAUGAUCAGCCACAUUGGGACUGAGACACGGCCCAAACUCCUACGGGAGGCAGCAGUGGGGAAUCUUGCGCAAUGGGCGAAAGCCUGACGCAGCCAUGCCGCGUGAAUGAUGAAGGUCUUAGGAUUGUAAAAUUCUUUCACCGGGGACGAUAAUGACGGUACCCGGAGAAGAAGCCCCGGCUAACUUCGUG